RNAcentral lists this ribosomal RNA (365 nucleotides) under uncultured Anaerolineaceae bacterium. RNAcentral describes it as "bacterial SSU rRNA". It matches the Rfam family "Bacterial small subunit ribosomal RNA", at positions 1002 to 1382 of the family's 1533-position model. The record is from RNAcentral. Lineage: Bacteria; Bacillati; Chloroflexota; Anaerolineae; Anaerolineales; Anaerolineaceae.
GGAAACUGGACCGACCCUUCGGGGAGCUUGUACAGGUGCUGCAUGGCUGUCGUCAGCUCGUGUCGUGAGAUGUUCGGUUAAGUCCGCUAACGAGCGCAACCCUCGCUGUGUGUUACAAGUGUCACACGGAACUGCCGGUCAUAAACCGGAGGAAGUGGGAUGACGUCAAGUCAGCAUGGCCUUUAUAUCCUGGGCUACACACACGCUACAAUGGGAAGGGACAAUAGGUUGCGAAGCCGCGAGGCGGAGCCAAUCCAGCAAAACUUCCCUCAGUUCAGAUUGCAGGCUGCAACCCGCCUGCAUGAAGUUGGAGUUGCUAGUAAACGCAGGUCAGCCAUACUGCGUUGAAUACGUUCCCGGGGCUU